This 467-nucleotide ribosomal RNA is filed under the name uncultured bacterium. RNAcentral describes it as "partial 16S ribosomal RNA". It matches the Rfam family "Bacterial small subunit ribosomal RNA", at positions 28 to 506 of the family's 1533-position model. The record is from RNAcentral.
GACGAACGCUGGCGGCGUGCUUAACACAUGCAAGUCGAACGGAAAGGCCCUGCUUUUGUGGGGUGCUCGAGUGGCGAACGGGUGAGUAACACGUGAGUAACCUGCCCUUGACUUUGGGAUAACUUCAGGAAACUGGGGCUAAUACCGGAUAGGAGCUCCUGCUGCAUGGUGGGGGUUGGAAAGUUUCGGCGGUUGGGGAUGGACUCGCGGCUUAUCAGCUUGUUGGUGGGGUAGUGGCUUACCAAGGAUUGGACGGGUAGCCGGCCUGGGAGGGUGACCGGCCACAGUGGGACUGAGAUACGGCCCAGACGCCUACGGGAGUCAGCAGUGGGGAAUAUUGCACAAUGGGCGGAAGCCGGAUGCAGCAACGCCGCGUGCGGGAUGACGGCCUUCGGGUUGUAAACCGCUUUCGCCUGUGACGAAGCGUGAGUGACGGAAAUGGGUAAAGAAGCACCGGCUAACUACGG